GCCUACGGGAGGCAGCAGUGAGGAAUAUUGAGCAAUGGGCGGAAGCCUGACUCAGCAACGCCGCGUGGAUGAUGAAGGCCUUCGGGUUGUAAAAUCCUUUUCUGGGGAGAAGAUAACUGACGGUACCCCCACGGAAAUAGGU
RNAcentral lists this ribosomal RNA (142 nucleotides) under uncultured bacterium. Its description in RNAcentral is "partial 16S ribosomal RNA". It matches the Rfam family "Bacterial small subunit ribosomal RNA", at positions 337 to 492 of the family's 1533-position model. The record is from RNAcentral.